GAUGAAGAACGUAGCGAAAUGCGAUACUUGGUGUGAAUUGCAGAAUCCCGUGAACCAUCGAGUCUUUGAACGCAAGUUGCGCCCGAAGCCAUUAGGCCGAGGGCACGCCUGCCUGGGCGUCACACGUCGUUGCCCCCCCAUCUACUCCUUCGGGAUUGCGGGGGGCGGAUGAUGGCCUCCCGUGCGCCUAGUCGCGCGGUUGGCAUAGAAGCCAAGUCCUCGGCGACGCACGCCACGACAAUCGGUGGUUGCGAAACCUCGGUUGCCCGUCGUGUGCGGUCGUCGCGCAUCGAGGGCUCGAAAAAAUUGCCGGGCUCCGGCUCGGCUUUCAACGCGACCCCAGGUCAGGCGGGGUUACCCGCUGAAUUUAAGCAUAUCAAUAAGCGGAGGA
RNAcentral lists this unclassified non-coding RNA (391 nucleotides) under soil metagenome. RNAcentral's name for it is "partial contains 5.8S ribosomal RNA, internal transcribed spacer 2, and large subunit ribosomal RNA". The stretch from base 1 to 122 matches the Rfam family "5.8S ribosomal RNA", at positions 35 to 154 of the family's 154-position model. The record is from RNAcentral.